This 253-nucleotide ribosomal RNA is filed under the name uncultured bacterium. RNAcentral describes it as "partial 16S ribosomal RNA". It matches the Rfam family "Bacterial small subunit ribosomal RNA", at positions 524 to 776 of the family's 1533-position model. The record is from RNAcentral.
UACAGAGGUCUCAAGCGUUGUUCGGAUUCACUGGGUUUAAAGGGUGCGUAGGUGGGUUGGUAAGUCAGUGGUGAAAUCUCCAGGCUUAACUUGGAAACUGCCGUUGAUACUAUCAAUCUUGAAUCUCGUAGAGGUAAGCGGAAUAUGUCAUGUAGCGGUGAAAUGCGUAGAUAUGACAUAGAACACCGAUAGCGAAGGCAGCUUGCUACACGAGUAUUGACACUGAAGCACGAAAGCGUGGGGAGCAAACAGG